Molecule: long non-coding RNA, 1398 nt
Organism: Mytilus trossulus (common blue mussel)
Lineage: Eukaryota; Metazoa; Mollusca; Bivalvia; Mytilida; Mytilidae
Exons: 4
Source: RefSeq, a predicted model, not a curated record
CUUUAUUCAUAAAAAAAGGGGGAUUUUUCACACCUGGACAAUAACUCAAAAAGGCUUUCACCAAUGUCCAUGAAACUUUGGUGAAUUGUUUAUAUCUAUUGACAUAAGCUCCCUUUCCCUUUUUAUUAAUUUUAGAUUUUAUGUUUUCUUAAGUAAUGAAUUUUUAUACUUAAAAAAGGGGGAUUUUAUGCAGUUUUGGUGAAACUUAAGAGCAACGGCCGUAUCAUGUGCUAAAGCGCAUCCCUUUAUUGAAAUGUGUUGUAGUUUUUACAUAUUAUUAUUUCUUUAUUUUAAUUAUACAAAUUUUGUAUUGUUAAAUAUUUAAAGGGUGUGGAGUCUCAACAGGGUGAAAUUUUCAGGACAAAAGGGAGGUAAUUCCUUUGUUAUACUCAUUAUACUUGAAAUUUCCUGAGUGUUUAUAUGGAAUAUAACUUUUUUAAUUAAAAUAUUCACUUUUGUACACAUUUUCUUUAAAUAUCAGAUGUAUACUUGCUAAAAUUACUUUUAUUUAGAGUUCUGUAAAUAAAAAAAAAAUGUAAGCAGAGCUCUAGCUAUAGAUAAUAGAUUUGGAGGGUGGGAGAAAUUGUGGGUAACUACAAUUGAUUAGGUGAAAUUUCAAAAGACUUAAAAAGUGCAUCUGAUAUUUAUUUUUACAUAAUGUUAUUUCUGAAAGCAAAUGGACAAUAAGAUGAGGACAUAAACCACCUUCCAGGUUAGGAUAGCAGCUCUUAAGGAAGAUGGUCAAUUAAAUCUUCAACCCAGUCUGAGGCCUUACCAUGAAAAAUAUGUGGUUGUUGAAAUUACAAUGUUUUCAUGGUGUGGGGAGUAAGACUUGAAUAUCUGAUAUUGUUAACAUGAUGGUUAGCAUCACAAGUUUCCUUUGGGUAACUUGCUUGAGGAGUAAAGAGAGCUGUUUAAGUUGAAAGUGUCACCUUUGCUGCCUUGUGUGGUACAAUCUUCAGACAAUAUCCUGCAAACCGUGGCUGAACUGUUACUAUCUUUUUUUAGUAGAAUCCUUAGACAGUAAUCUUGUGGCAGAAUGAGUUGUAAACAAAUUGUUUUUAUUCCUGUAUUGAGUUUCAAAUUGGAUAUUUUUUUAUUUAUAUUAUUUGUAUUCCAUUUGCAUUCAAUUAUUGUUUUUUAAUUGAUGAAUCAUUGAAACUUAAAUUUUGCGGGGUCCUAAAGGACUUUCUUAGAGGGGGCCAGCGCAAUUGAUUAAACAAAAUUUUUCCCGCAACAGGGAGAGGAGACAUCCCCAUAAAUAUGCCUUUGAAAUGGGGUGUUAAAGAAGAUUUGUAUUGUUUGUUUGUUUGUCCAUCAUCAGCUCUCAUCCACAGCUUGGUAGAUUUUCAUUGAAACUUUCAGCUGAUUUUCUGUACUAAAGGCAGUAUGUUUUUU